GACGUAGGGGGCGAGCGUUGUCCGGAUUUAUUGGGCGUAAAGCGCGCGUAGGCGGCCGCUCAAGUCGGGUGUGAAAACCCGGGGCUCAACCCCGGGCCUGCAUUCGAUACUGGGUGGCUAGAGGCAGGCAGGGGAGAGUGGAAUUCCUGGUGUAGCGGUGAAAUGCGCAGAUAUCAGGAGGAACACCGGUGGCGAAGGCGGCUCUCUGGAACGGUACUGACGCUGAGACGCGAAAGCGUGGGGAGCGAACAGG
RNAcentral lists this ribosomal RNA (253 nucleotides) under uncultured bacterium. RNAcentral describes it as "partial 16S ribosomal RNA". It matches the Rfam family "Bacterial small subunit ribosomal RNA", at positions 524 to 776 of the family's 1533-position model. The record is from RNAcentral.